CCUACGGGGGGCAGCAGUAGGGAAUCUUCCACAAUGGGCGAAAGCCUGAUGGAGCAACGCCGCGUGGGUGAAGAAGGUCUUCGGAUCGUAAAACCCUGUUGUUAGAGAAGAAAGUGCGUGAGAGUAACUGUUCACGUUUCGACGGUAUCUAACCAGAAAGCCACGGCUAACUACGUGCCAGCAGCCGCGGUAAUACGUAGGUGGCAAGCGUUAUCCGGAUUUAUUGGGCGUAAAGGGUACGCAGGCGGUCUUUUAAGUCUGAUGGGAAAGGCUUCGGCUUAACCGGAGUAGUGCAUUGGAAACUGGGAGACUGGAGUGCAGAAGAGGAGAGUGGAACUCCAUGUGUAGCGGUGAAAUGCGUAGAUAUAUGGAAGAACACCAGGGGCGAAAGCGGCUCUCUGGUCUGUAACUGACGCUGAGGUUCGAAAGCGUGGGUAGCAAACAGGAUUAGAUACCCGGGUAGUC
Molecule: ribosomal RNA, 465 nt
Filed under: uncultured bacterium
Lineage: Bacteria
Description: partial 16S ribosomal RNA
Rfam family: Bacterial small subunit ribosomal RNA
Source: RNAcentral